UUGCUCUCCUAUAAGAGGUCCAGCCUGCCCAGUGACUUAGUUCAACGGCCGCGGUACCCUAACCGUGCGAAGGUAGCGUAAUCACUUGUCUUCUAAAUAGAGACUAGUAUGAAAGGCAUCACGAGAAUUUAACUGUCUCCUUUUUCCAAUCAGUGAAACUAAUCUUCCCGUGAAGAAGCGGGAAUCCAAAAAUAAGACGAGAAGACCCUAUGGAGCUUUAAACACUAACCACCUGCCCAAUCCUAUAAAACCCCGGUUCCUAAACCAACGCAUCAUGACUACGUGUUUUUGAUUGGGGCGACCACGGAAAAUAAUCAAACCUCCGUAAUGAAAACCUACAAGCCACAGCUUUAAGUAUCAACAAAUUGACAUCCAUUGACCCAAUAUAUUGACUAAUGAAC
This 401-nucleotide ribosomal RNA is filed under the name Pristimantis chiastonotus (Brownberg robber frog). Its description in RNAcentral is "partial large subunit ribosomal RNA". It matches the Rfam family "Bacterial large subunit ribosomal RNA", at positions 1835 to 2457 of the family's 2925-position model. Lineage: Eukaryota; Metazoa; Chordata; Amphibia; Anura; Strabomantidae. The record is from RNAcentral.